UUGGAGGGCAAGUCUGGUGCCAGCAGCCGCGGUAAUUCCAGCUCCAAUAGCGUAUAUUAAAGUUGUUGCAGUUAAAAAGCUCGUAGUUGAACCUUGGGUCUGGCUGGCCGGUCCGCCUCACCGCGUGCACUGGUCCGGCCGGGCCUUUCCUUCUGGGGAGCCCCAUGGCCUUCACUGGCUGUGGGGGGGAACCAGGACUUUUACUGUGAAAAAACUUAGAGUGUUCAAAGCAGGCCUUUGCUCGGAUACAUUAGCAUGGAAUAAUAGAAUAGGA
Molecule: ribosomal RNA, 274 nt
Filed under: uncultured Ascomycota
Lineage: Eukaryota; Fungi; Ascomycota
Description: partial 18S ribosomal RNA
Rfam family: Eukaryotic small subunit ribosomal RNA
Source: RNAcentral